GAUGAACGCUGGCGGCGUGCCUAAUACAUGCAAGUCGAGCGAACGGACGAGAGGCUUGCUUCUCUGAUGUUAGCGGCGGACGGGUGAGUAACACGUGGAUAACCUACCUAUAAGACUGGGAUAACUUCGGGAAACCGUAGCUAAUACCGGAUAAUAUUUUGAACCGCAUGGUUCAAAAGUGAAAGACGGUCUUGCUGUCACUUAUAGAUGGAUCCGCGCUGCAUUAGCUAGUUGGUAAGGUAACGGCUUACCAAGGCAACGAUGCAUAGCCGACCUGAGAGGGUGAUCGGCCACACUGGAACUGAGACACGGUCCAGACUCCUACGGGAGGCAGCAGUAGGGAAUCUUCCGCAAUGGGCGAAAGCCUGACGGAGCAACGCCGCGUGAGUGAUGAAGGUCUUCGGAUCGUAAAACUCUGUUAUUAGGGAAGAACAUAUGUGUAAGUAACUGUGCACAUCUUGACGGUACCUAAUCAGAAAGCCACGGCUAACUACGUG
Molecule: ribosomal RNA, 497 nt
Filed under: uncultured bacterium
Lineage: Bacteria
Description: partial 16S ribosomal RNA
Rfam family: Bacterial small subunit ribosomal RNA
Source: RNAcentral